AGACCACCCGCACCGGGGUCUGGGUGCUGCCUUGCUCCCCGAAACGUGCCCCUUCCCCAAAACUGCAGUGCGGGGCUUCUGGGGUGGGGGGUGUUUGGAGCCUCUGAGCUUCAAAGGGAGCCUGAGAAAUGAUUCCUUUAGGGAACGUGUGACCCAAGGCGGCUCUUUAUCGGCACGGUCUGUGUUGGAGCCGCGUGUGUGCAGAGCGAGCAGGAGCUGAUAUUUCACUGCAGUGGAAUGAGGGCGUGUGUGCCGAUGGAGCCUGUGCAUAUGGGGAGAUGUGUACAUAACCAAGCAAGUUCAAAUAGUGCAGUACGUGCCGUGCAGAGCGCGUGCCUGCAGGAAAGUGAUUUCUGAGCGUGCAGGAGCCCCAGAGACUCUUGGCCUCUGUCCGUGCGGUGACCAGGACGUGGGCUCCCAUCCGCGCCAGGUGGUACGCCAUCUGCUCCCCGAUUCCAGUGCUUGCUCCAGUGACGAUCACACGUUUCCCCUUCAGCAUCUCUGGGGACCAAGGCACAUGGGUUUAAUUUAUCCAAACCCUAUUUAAAAAGCAAAUAACAUCUCCUCAUGCCCUCAAGCAGCAGUUGAUUGCAAGCUGAGCGAGCUUGCCUGCAAACGCGGAGCCUCGUGCUCCGUCUUGCACCGAGCCAUCUCCUCCCUCUCCUGGAAGAGCUGCACCGAGGAGCAGCUGCGGCUCCAACUGACCACAGCAACACGGGGACGGUUCUUGGCUCUUUCAGAAGCUUUUUCAUGGAUCAGAAAACAACUUAUAAACAAACACAGCUAUUUUGCAAUAAAAAACACCCACUAAGUACAUACUUCAAAACUUAAAAUCCAACAUUCAAAAGCCAUGUUUAUGAAAUUUUUACAGACUUGAAUGUGAAGUGUUCAAAGCCCUCUCCAUUUCAGAAGCCCCUGCCUCACCUGCUCCCUCAGAAACUCUUUCUGCAUGUUACUUGCUCAAUUUGAGUUUGAAUCUCUGCUAAAACAACGCUCCUUUAUCAGCCCUGCCACAAAGGCUUGGACCUGGCUUGGUCCAAGCUCUGUACAGUUUCCAUGCAAAGCACUCGGAUGUGCCUUUUAAUAUUUUACUUACGGACAGAUUUACUUUUAAUACUUACCCGGUUUGAAAUUCUCCCUCGCAGAAUAAAAGCAGAAGGCCAAAACCAGUCCCAAAAAAGGAAUGAGAAUCUUUUGUAACCGACCCAUCCCUGGAAAUUGAGCAUGAAAGAGAAAGGAGGAAUAAAACCUCUGCAGAGCUGCUCCCGAAGGAAGCAGCAGCGGCAAUCCUUCAAAACCUGUUGCGAAGGAAUUGCAACUUCCAAAGCACUGGAAAAUCACAGUGGGGUUGUUAAGAGAGGCAAAACCUUUGAUCUGCUCCCCACUGGAGCUGGGGAGCCUCGGCCUAACCGGCGGUGCUGCUCCGAGCUCUGCCCGGCUCUUUUCAUAUUUCCUGUCCCUACGAUAAAAUGCAGAAUUUCGCACAACACCCUGGAAGAGGUGUGUCUUUGCUGAACAGCAUCAA
Non-coding RNA from Anas platyrhynchos (mallard), 1525 nucleotides. NCBI's taxonomy places the organism in Eukaryota, Metazoa, Chordata, Aves, Anseriformes, Anatidae. The record is from RefSeq and is a predicted model, not a curated record.